CCUACGGGUGGCAGCAGUGGGGAAUAUUGCACAAUGGGCGCAAGCCUGAUGCAGCCAUGCCGCGUGUAUGAAGAAGGCCUUCGGGUUGUAAAGUACUUUCAGCGGGGAGGAAGGGAGUAAAGUUAAUACCUUUGCUCAUUGACGUUACCCGCCGAAGAAGCACCGGCUAACUCCGUGCCAGCAGCCGCGGUAAUACGGAGGGUGCAAGCGUUAAUCGGAAUUACUGGGCGUAAAGCGCACGCAGGCGGUUUGUUAAGUCAGAUGUGAAAUCCCAGGGCUCAACCUGGGAACUGCAUCUGAUACUGGCAAGCUUGAGUCUCGUAGAGGGGAGUAGAAUUCCAGGUGUAGCGGUGAAAUGCGUAGAUAUUAGGAGGAACACCAGUGGCGAAGGCGGCCUGCUGGACGACAACUGACGGUGAGGCGCGAAGGCGUGGGGAGCAAACAGGAUUAGAUACCCGGGUAGUC
Molecule: ribosomal RNA, 465 nt
Filed under: uncultured bacterium
Lineage: Bacteria
Description: partial 16S ribosomal RNA
Rfam family: Bacterial small subunit ribosomal RNA
Source: RNAcentral